AAAAAAUCGAUGAGUUGACAAUUCUGACAGGCAGAGGCGGGGAUACCUCUCCUCCGGAGGCGGGACAUAAUCAUAUUUCCACGGCGAUGCUCAGAUUCCAUUGGUCACGUUGAGGAGGUCGGGCCCCAGAGAGAACAGCUAUUGGUCGGAUGGUAUGUCGCUCAUGGCGUGUGUGUGUUUGCAGGGGCAUAUAAAGAGCGUGAAACUCAGCGAUAAAUAGCUAAGCUCAAGCAGUUGCAGAAACGUUUCAGAGUUUAGACGGCGAAAGAAAGAGAGAAAAAAAGAAAGAAAGAGAGAACUCAGUAGCUUACAUACAUACAUACACAAAAAGAUAACUGAUCAGACAGGACGAAAAAAAUGUAAUGGUCUGACGCAAACGAUUUUUUGUUUUUUGUUUUUCCUCCUUCGGAAGGGGUCUUUCAUAUCGAUGCCAUUGGCCGAGGCGCCCGCAGUGUCUCCCACAGGAUGAUCAGGAUGUCAUUGGACAAAGAGACUGUUCUACAGCGUGAUGGGCGGGGCGACGCUGCUGUCCCAGAAGGCCCUGCGUCAGGAGGAGGAGGAGGGGAGGGGGAGUGGACAGGGUGGGUGGGGUAAUGAUGUCCCCUCCUCCUCCCUGUCUGGGACCAACCGGAUUCACCGGAAGAAUGGUUCUAACGGAACAGCCACAUCCUCACGGCCCCAAAACAAGAAGUACACACCCCUUAAAGACCAAAAACGGCCUUCAGCCCCCCCACAACAACCCCCAGGUCUUCCCUCCGGG
RNAcentral lists this long non-coding RNA (760 nucleotides) under Salmo salar (Atlantic salmon). RNAcentral describes it as "lncRNA (ENSSSAG00000090556.1)". Lineage: Eukaryota; Metazoa; Chordata; Actinopteri; Salmoniformes; Salmonidae. The record is from RNAcentral.